UCCUUGUGCAUCCUGGAAAACAAUAGUCGCAGUAGAACAAAACUUCAAUGCAAAAGAUUAAGAGCAUUGAAAUCAAAUGGGAAAGAGGACAGAAAGAUGGCAAUGAGAGAAUCAUGAUAUAAUCUCUCUACAUAUUCAUUUCCUUGUGCCUUCUGCUCAUGUAGAAGUAAAAAAGUUCAAAUAGAGGAAGUUGCUUUUGUAUGGAAUAGCACUUGCUUUUUUCUAAUAUCAAUCAAUUUGGAUUUCAUCUUUGUAUUUAAUGGGUUGGGAUCUUCUACUGAUUUGAUCCUUUUUUCUUUUCCUUUUUUAUUAACUAGCAUAUUAAAUGGUCUGAAGCAAACUGUAGUCAGUGCAUUUUUCUUGAUAUCAGGACUUCAAAUGAUUCCUGCUUACAUACCAUGUGAACUUUAACUGAAGAAAUGUAGAUGCAUGGUUUAACCAUAUAAACCUUCAUUCUUUUUGUCCAACUACUAAAGAAAAUAUGUUAGUGAAACUUAGUAACAUAAAUUAUUGUUCAUGUUAUUGUUAAAUAUUAUUUCAUUAGUUCAACUUAAAAUGAUAACUGAUUUAAUCGUUUAAUGCAGAAAAUGGCUUCAUUUGGUUUUAUUCUAUUUGAAUUACAUAAACUGUAAUACCUAUUUAAUUAUCAAUUCACUACAAUUUUGCCUACAAAUUAGAAAUAUAUGUUUUAACAAUGUACUUUGUAUAUUUCUCAAAUUAAACCCAUUGAUUUGUCCAACUUAUAAUGACAUUCAAUUGCGUGUAGGGUGUGCGUUUUUUUCCUUUUUCUUUCAAUAUGAAUAUUACCUUGUAUUUUGAAUUGAUUUUAGAUUGCAUAUGAUAUUUAUGGUUGAUGUAAUGAUUUUACUCUGUUUCUUGUCAUAUUAGUUAACCUAAAGUUAAAUUUGUUAACGACACUAAUUUUUUCCCAACAAUGGUAGUAAUCUUUUGGGCCAUAGACUGGAUUCAUUGUGAUUUGUGUUCUUCUUGAUCUCCCCAUUGUCCCCUUAAAAAGCUCUAGGAUUGAUGUCUAGUGCAAUACUUGGUGUAACUUGCGAUAUAGAAGCAAGAUGUGUUGAUGGAUCGACUCAUUUAUGUUCCCAUAAUAUAGUCUUUUUUUCCCCUUCUGCUCUCUCUUUCUUUCUUGAGCCUUCAAUUGAGAUUUGGUGGGGUGGUCUAGAUCAUGAUGACGUUUCAGCAUAUUGAAAAGUUUUAUUGUGGUAUUCACAGUGUAUCUUAAGCUUGAGCAUGUGUUUGAAAUAAUUUCCAAAGAACCUAAGUUUUGGGAUUGUACCAUUGGGGGUGGUUUCAAAAUUAUAGGGCUGUGGUUGUUCUCCCUCCUACAGCUGAUCAAUGAACCAAGCUACAUGAGCUCGAUUCGUGCUCUGCUCGUCAAAAUCUUGUUUAAAGCUGAGCUUGGAUAACCUACUACUCGGAUCGAAAAGUUUGUAUGCACUAUGAAAAAUCAAAUUUAAUUGUCAAGAGUAACAGUGCAAAUACUGUUUGUCGAGAUGCGGCUGGUUUAAAGGAUGGAAUUUAGAGCAUGCAGUACUCUUUCAUUCCCGUCUGAAUGAAAAUACAUUAUAAGUUAUCAAAAAAUAGUGAUGCAUAUUAUAUCAAUGUUAGUUGUAAUCUAACGUAUUAACUGUCAUUAUACAUUACUUCAAUGUAUGUUUGGUAAAUAUAGACUCUUGUUGGUGUGUUCGGAUCCUAUAGAGUGAUAUGCAUGAAGUGAUUGUGAAGUGAAAUGAUGAAGAGGCGACACGUGUCUCACUUAAGGGGUGAAUGACAUAUUUUUCUUUUAUUAAAAUGAUGUCAUUUUGGUGAAAGAAAACAAAAUAUUCUCAAACGAAGAAACCUUAUUCUUCUC
Camellia sinensis is the source of this 1870-nucleotide non-coding RNA. The record is from RefSeq and is a predicted model, not a curated record. NCBI's taxonomy places the organism in Eukaryota, Viridiplantae, Streptophyta, Magnoliopsida, Ericales, Theaceae.